RNAcentral lists this ribosomal RNA (253 nucleotides) under uncultured bacterium. RNAcentral describes it as "partial 16S ribosomal RNA". It matches the Rfam family "Bacterial small subunit ribosomal RNA", at positions 524 to 776 of the family's 1533-position model. The record is from RNAcentral.
GACAGAGGGUGCAAGCGUUGUUCGGAAUUAUUGGGCGUAAAGGGCGCGUAGGCGGCUGAGCAAGUCGAAUGUGAAAGCUCUGGGCUUAACCCAGAAAGUGCAUUUGAUACUGCUCAACCUGAGUCCCGGAGAGGGUGGUGGAAUUCCCAGUGUAGAGGUGAAAUUCGUAGAUAUUGGGAGGAACACCGGUGGCGAAGGCGACCACCUGGACGGAGACUGACGCUGAGGCGCGAAAGCGUGGGGAGCAAACAGG